GGUUAAGCGACUAAGCGUACACGGUGGAUGCCCUGGCAGUCAGAGGCGAUGAAGGACGUGCUAAUCUGCGAAAAGCGUCGGUAAGGUGAUAUGAACCGUUAUAACCGGCGAUGUCCGAAUGGGGAAACCCAGUGCAAUUCGUUGCACUAUCGUUAACUGAAUACAUAGGUUAACGAGGCGAACCGGGGGAACUGAAACAUCUAAGUACCCCGAGGAAAAGAAAUCAACCGAGAUUCCCCCAGUAGCGGCGAGCGAACGGGGAGCAGCCCAGAGUCUGAAUCAGCUUGUGUGUUAGUGGAACGGUCUGGAAAGUCCGACGGUACAGGGUGAUAGUCCCGUACACCAAAAUGCACAGGUUGUGAACUCGAAGAGUAGGGCGGGACACGUGGUAUCCUGUCUGAAUAUGGGGGGACCAUCCUCCAAGGCUAAAUACUCCUGACUGACCGAUAGUGAACCAGUACCGUGAGGGAAAGGCGAAAAGAACCCCGGCGAGGGGAGUGAAAAAGAACCUGAAACCGUGUACGUACAAGCAGUGGGAGCACCUUCGGGUGUGACUGCGUACCUUUUGUAUAAUGGGUCAGCGACUUAUAUUCUGUAGCAAGGUUAACCGUAUAGGGGAGCCGCAGGGAAACCGAGUCUUAACUGGGCGUUAAGUUGCAGGGUAUAGACCCGAAACCCGGUGAUCUAGCCAUGGGCAGGUUGAAGGUUGGGUAACACUAACUGGAGGACCGAACCGACUAAUGUUGAAAAAUUAGCGGAUGACUUGUGGCUGGGGGUGAAAGGCCAAUCAAACCGGGAGAUAGCUGGUUCUCCCCGAAAGCUAUUUAGGUAGCGCCUCGUGAACUCAUCUUCGGGGGUAGAGCACUGUUUCGGCUAGGGGGUCAUCCCGACUUACCAACCCGAUGCAAACUACGAAUACCGAAGAAUGUUAUCACGGGAGACACACGGCGGGUGCUAACGUCCGUCGUGAAGAGGGAAACAACCCAGACCGCCAGCUAAGGUCCCAAAGUCAUGGUUAAGUGGGAAACGAUGUGGGAAGGCACAGACAGCCAGGAUGUUGGCUUAGAAGCAGCCAUCAUUUAAAGAAAGCGUAAUAGCUCACUGGUCGAGUCGGCCUGCGCGGAAGAUGUAACGGGGCUAAACCAUGCACCGAAGCUGCGGCAGCGACACUAUGUGUUGUUGGGUAGGGGAGCGUUCUGUAAGCCUGCGAAGGUGUGCUGUGAGGCAUGCUGGAGGUAUCAGAAGUGCGAAUGCUGACAUAAGUAACGAUAAAGCGGGUGAAAAGCCCGCUCGCCGGAAGACCAAGGGUUCCUGUCCAACGUUAAUCGGGGCAGGGUGAGUCGACCCCUAAGGCGAGGCCGAAAGGCGUAGUCGAUGGGAAACAGGUUAAUAUUCCUGUACUUGGUGUUACUGCGAAGGGGGGACGGAGAAGGCUAUGUUAGCCGGGCGACGGUUGUCCCGGUUUAAGCAUGUAGGCUGGUUAUCCAGGCAAAUCCGGAUAAUCAAGGCUGAGGUGUGAUGACGAGGCACUACGGUGCUGAAGUAACAAAUGCCCUGCUUCCAGGAAAAGCCUCUAAGCAUCAGGUAACAUCAAAUCGUACCCCAAACCGACACAGGUGGUCAGGUAGAGAAUACCAAGGCGCUUGAGAGAACUCGGGUGAAGGAACUAGGCAAAAUGGUGCCGUAACUUCGGGAGAAGGCACGCUGGUGUGUAGGUGAAGUCCCUGCGGAUGGAGCUGAGACCAGUCGAAGAUACCAGCUGGCUGCAACUGUUUAUUAAAAACACAGCACUGUGCAAACACGAAAGUGGACGUAUACGGUGUGACGCCUGCCCGGUGCCGGAAGGUUAAUUGAUGGGGUUAUCCGUAAGGAGAAGCUCUUGAUCGAAGCCCCGGUAAACGGCGGCCGUAACUAUAACGGUCCUAAGGUAGCGAAAUUCCUUGUCGGGUAAGUUCCGACCUGCACGAAUGGCGUAAUGAUGGCCAGGCUGUCUCCACCCGAGACUCAGUGAAAUUGAACUCGCUGUGAAGAUGCAGUGUACCCGCGGCAAGACGGAAAGACCCCGUGAACCUUUACUAUAGCUUGACACUGAACAUUGAGCCUUGAUGUGUAGGAUAGGUGGGAGGCUUUGAAGCGUGGACGCCAGUCUGCGUGGAGCCAACCUUGAAAUACCACCCUUUAAUGUUUGAUGUUCUAACGUUGGCCCCUGACCGGGGUUGCGGACAGUGUCUGGUGGGUAGUUUGACUGGGGCGGUCUCCUCCCAAAGCGUAACGGAGGAGCACGAAGGUUAGCUAAUCCUGGUCGGACAUCAGGAGGUUAGUGCAAUGGCAUAAGCUAGCUUGACUGCGAGCGUGACGGCGCGAGCAGGUGCGAAAGCAGGUCAUAGUGAUCCGGUGGUUCUGAAUGGAAGGGCCAUCGCUCAACGGAUAAAAGGUACUCCGGGGAUAACAGGCUGAUACCGCCCAAGAGUUCAUAUCGACGGCGGUGUUUGGCACCUCGAUGUCGGCUCAUCACAUCCUGGGGCUGAAGUAGGUCCCAAGGGUAUGGCUGUUCGCCAUUUAAAGUGGUACGCGAGCUGGGUUUAGAACGUCGUGAGACAGUUCGGUCCCUAUCUGCCGUGGGCGCUGGAGAAUUGAGGGGGGCUGCUCCUAGUACGAGAGGACCGGAGUGGACGCAUCACUGGUGUUCGGGUUGUCAUGCCAAUGGCACUGCCCGGUAGCUAAAUGCGGAAGAGAUAAGUGCUGAAAGCAUCUAAGCACGAAACUUGCCCCGAGAUGAGUUCUCCCUGAGACUAUAAGUCUCCUGAAGGAACGUU
This 2816-nucleotide ribosomal RNA is filed under the name Klebsiella pneumoniae. Its description in RNAcentral is "partial 23S ribosomal RNA". It matches the Rfam family "Bacterial large subunit ribosomal RNA". The record is from RNAcentral. Lineage: Bacteria; Pseudomonadati; Pseudomonadota; Gammaproteobacteria; Enterobacterales; Enterobacteriaceae.